UUGCUUCUCCGGAUGAGUUGCGAACGGGUGAGUAACGCGUAGGUAACCUGCCUGGUAGCGGGGGAUAACUAUUGGAAACGAUAGCUAAUACCGCAUAACAGUAGAUAUUGCAUGAUAUCUGCUUGAAAGGUGCAAUUGCAUCACUACCAGAUGGACCUGCGUUGUAUUAGCUAGUUGGUGAGGUAACGGCUCACCAAGGCGACGAUACAUAGCCGACCUGAGAGGGUGAUCGGCCACACUGGGACUGAGACACGGCCCAGACUCCUACGGGAGGCAGCAGUAGGGAAUCUUCGGCAAUGGACGGAAGUCUGACCGAGCAACGCCGCGUGAGUGAAGAAGGUUUUCGGAUCGUAAAGCUCUGUUGUAAGAGAAGAACGAGUGUGAGAGUGGAAAGUUCACACUGUGACGGUAUCUUAUCAGAAAGGGACGGCUAACUACGUGCCAGCAGCCGCGGUAAUACGUAGGUCCCGAGCGUUGUCCGGAUUUAUUGGGCGUAAAGCGAGCGCAGGCGGUUAGAUAAGUCUGAAGUUAAAGGCUGUGGCUUAACCAUAGUACGCUUUGGAAACUGUUUAACUUGAGUGCAAGAGGGGAGAGUGGAAUUCCAUGUGUAGCGGUGAAAUGCGUAGAUAUAUGGAGGAACACCGGUGGCGAAAGCGGCUCUCUGG
This 665-nucleotide ribosomal RNA is filed under the name uncultured Bacilli bacterium. RNAcentral describes it as "bacterial SSU rRNA". It matches the Rfam family "Bacterial small subunit ribosomal RNA", at positions 79 to 732 of the family's 1533-position model. The record is from RNAcentral. Lineage: Bacteria; Bacillati; Bacillota; Bacilli.